This 76-nucleotide transfer RNA is filed under the name Patescibacteria group bacterium. Its description in RNAcentral is "tRNA-Ala". It matches the Rfam family "tRNA". From Rfam's summary of the family: Transfer RNA (tRNA) molecules are approximately 80 nucleotides in length. Their secondary structure includes four short double-helical elements and three loops (D, anti-codon, and T loops). The record is from RNAcentral.
GGGCCCGUAGCUCAGUUGGUAGAGCACUUGUUUUGCAUACAAGGGGUCAGCGGUUCGAAUCCGCUCGGGUCCACCA